Molecule: ribosomal RNA, 482 nt
Filed under: uncultured bacterium
Lineage: Bacteria
Description: partial 16S ribosomal RNA
Rfam family: Bacterial small subunit ribosomal RNA
Source: RNAcentral
AUUGAACGCUGGCGGCAUGCUUUACACAUGCAAGUCGAACGGCAGCGCGGGCUUCGGCCUGGCGGCGAGUGGCGAACGGGUGAGUAAUGCAUCGGAACGUGCCCAGUAGUGGGGGAUAGCCCAGCGAAAGCCGGAUUAAUACCGCAUACGACCUGAGGGUGAAAGCGGGGGACCGAAAGGCCUCGCGCUAUUGGAGCGGCCGAUGUCGGAUUAGCUAGUUGGUGGGGUAAAGGCUUACCAAGGCGACGAUCCGUAGCUGGUCUGAGAGGACGACCAGCCACACUGGGACUGAGACACGGCCCAGACUCCUACGGGAGGCAGCAGUGGGGAAUUUUGGACAAGGGGGGCAACCCUGAUCCAGCCAUGCCGCGUGCGGGAAGAAGGCCGUCGGGUUGGAAACCGCUUUUGUUCGGGAAGAAAUCCUCUGGGCUAAUACCCCGGGGGGAUGACGGUACCGGAAGAAUAAGCACCGGCUAACUACG